CCUACGGGAGACUGCAGUGAGGAAUAUUGGUCAAUGGACGAGAGUCUGAACCAGCCAAGUAGCGUGAAGGAUGACUGCCCUAUGGGUUGUAAACUUCUUUUAUAUGGGAAUAAAAUGUUCCACGUGUGCGCUUUUGUAUGUACCUUAUGAAUAAGGAUCGGCUAACUCCGUGCCAGCAGCCGCGGUAAUACGGAGGGUCCGAGCGUUAUCCGGAUUUAUUGGGUUUAAAGGGUGCGUAGGUGGGUUGUUAAGUCAGUUGUGAACGUUUGCGGCUCAACCGUACAAGUGCAGUUGAAACUGGCAGGCUGGAGUACAGUAGAGGUGGGCGGAAUUCGUGGUGUAGCGGUGAAAUGCUUAGAUAUCACGAAGAACACCGAUUGCGAAGGCAGCUCACUGGACUGCAACUGACGCUGAGGCACGAAAGUGUGGGUAUCAAACAGGAUUAGAUACCCGAGUAGUC
RNAcentral lists this ribosomal RNA (460 nucleotides) under uncultured bacterium. RNAcentral's name for it is "partial 16S ribosomal RNA". It matches the Rfam family "Bacterial small subunit ribosomal RNA", at positions 338 to 795 of the family's 1533-position model. The record is from RNAcentral.